GACGAACGCUGGCGGCGUGCUUAACACAUGCAAGUCGAACGGAAAGGCCCUGCUUGCAGGGUACUCGAGUGGCGAACGGGUGAGUAACACGUGGGUGAUCUGCCCUGCACUUCGGGAUAAGCUUGGGAAACUGGGUCUAAUACCGGAUAGGACCGCACUUUAGUGUGUGUGGUGGAAAGUUUUUUCGGUGUAGGAUGAGCUCGCGGCCUAUCAGCUUGUUGGUGGGGUAAUGGCCUACCAAGGCGGCGACGGGUAGCCGGCCUGAGAGGGUGUACGGCCACAUUGGGACUGAGAUACGGCCCAGACUCCUACGGGAGGCAGCAGUGGGGAAUAUUGCACAAUGGGCGCAAGCCUGAUGCAGCGACGCCGCGUGGGGGAUGAAGGCCUUCGGGUUGAAAACUCCUUUCGCUAGGGACGAAGCUUUUUGUGACGGUACCUAGAUAAGAAGCACCGGCUAACUACGUG
This 465-nucleotide ribosomal RNA is filed under the name uncultured bacterium. Its description in RNAcentral is "partial 16S ribosomal RNA". It matches the Rfam family "Bacterial small subunit ribosomal RNA", at positions 28 to 507 of the family's 1533-position model. The record is from RNAcentral.